CAGCAGCCGCGGGAAAACGGAGGGUGCAAGCGUUAAUCGGAAUUACUGGGCGUAAAGCGCACGCAGGCGGUCUGUCAAGUCAGAUGUGAAAUCCCCGGGCUUAACCUGGGAACUGCAUUUGAAACUGUCAGGCUGGAGUCUUGUAGAGGGGGGUAGAAUUCCAGGUGUAGCGGUGAAAUGCGUAAGGAUCUGGAGGAAUACCGAUGGCGAAGGCAGCCCCCUGGGCCAACACUGACGCUCAUGCACGAAAGCGUGGGGAGCAAACAGGAUUAGAUACCCGUGUAGUCCCUGUCUCUUAUAC
RNAcentral lists this ribosomal RNA (301 nucleotides) under uncultured bacterium. RNAcentral describes it as "partial 16S ribosomal RNA". It matches the Rfam family "Bacterial small subunit ribosomal RNA", at positions 509 to 807 of the family's 1533-position model. The record is from RNAcentral.